Molecule: small RNA, 240 nt
Filed under: Chinchilla lanigera (long-tailed chinchilla)
Lineage: Eukaryota; Metazoa; Chordata; Mammalia; Rodentia; Chinchillidae
Description: 7SK RNA (ENSCLAG00000022194.1)
Rfam family: 7SK RNA (bases 1-186)
About the family: 7SK was discovered as an abundant small nuclear RNA in the mid-70s but a possible function has only recently been suggested. Two independent studies have found that 7SK RNA binds the CDK9/cyclin T complex (known as elongation factor P-TEFb). P-TEFb activates transcription by phosphorylating the C-terminal domain of RNA polymerase II.
Source: RNAcentral
AGAUGGGAGGAGGAUCUGGCUGCAACAUCUGCUACCCCGUUGAUCACCAAGGUUGAUUCGCCUGAUCUGGCGGGCCACGUGGUGUCCUUUCCCUCCCUCACCUCUUCCUCUGUGUCCCUUCCAAAGCUGCGCACUCAAUCAAAGAAGACAACUUUCCCCCAUAGAGGAGGACCAUUCCUUGGUCCCCUUCGAGAAAGGAACUCCAAUCGAAAGCCUGCUCAUGACCUCUAAAGAGCAUUC